Molecule: small nuclear RNA, 108 nt
Filed under: Sciurus vulgaris (Eurasian red squirrel)
Lineage: Eukaryota; Metazoa; Chordata; Mammalia; Rodentia; Sciuridae
Source: RNAcentral
GUGCUCGCUUCAGUAGCACAUAUACCAAAAUUGGAAAGAAACAGAAAAGAUUAGCGAGGCCCCUGCACCAAGGAUGACAAGCAAAUUUGUGAAGCAUUCUUUAUUUUA